Molecule: ribosomal RNA, 432 nt
Filed under: Shigella flexneri
Lineage: Bacteria; Pseudomonadati; Pseudomonadota; Gammaproteobacteria; Enterobacterales; Enterobacteriaceae
Description: partial 23S ribosomal RNA
Rfam family: Bacterial large subunit ribosomal RNA
Source: RNAcentral
GUACUCCGGGGAUAACAGGCUGAUACCGCCCAAGAGUUCAUAUCGACGGCGGUGUUUGGCACCUCGAUGUCGGCUCAUCACAUCCUGGGGCUGAAGUAGGUCCCAAGGGUAUGGCUGUUCGCCAUUUAAAGUGGUACGCGAGCUGGGUUUAGAACGUCGUGAGACAGUUCGGUCCCUAUCUGCCGUGGGCGCUGGAGAACUGAGGGGGGCUGCUCCUAGUACGAGAGGACCGGAGUGGACGCAUCACUGGUGUUCGGGUUGUCAUGCCAAUGGCACUGCCCGGUAGCUAAAUGCGGAAGAGAUAAGUGCUGAAAGCAUCUAAGCACGAAACUUGCCCCGAGAUGAGUUCUCCCUGACCCUUUAAGGGUCCUGAAGGAACGUUGAAGACGACGACGUUGAUAGGCCGGGUGUGUAAGCGCAGCGAUGCGUUGA